GGUUGAUUGAUUAUUUAUUGGGAAUUAAUACUGAGAGAGUAUACGCAAAGGCUGAGGGCACCAUGCCAUCUUCACAGAACAAGACCCUAACAGCUAACUGACGUACAAGAAACUGCAAAGUUAUACUGUAAGAACACAUAUUAAGGACCGAGGAAAGUCUGCUAAGGUGCUACGUCUAAAACUAAGUUACUUCUUGCUUCGACCCUCCCCCUUCUUUAUAUCAGUCGUCGUCUAGAGCCUCUGUCUUGAUCUCGUUGGCUCCUUGCCGGGCCAAUGCCAAGAUGGUGUGGUUUACCGCUGCCAUUUCCACGGCUAAUGAAAUGGGGUCUUGAUGGUCACUAUGGCUAGUGCUGUCAUCUUGUUUGGAGCAGAUCCUCCUGUCUUCUUCUACCUUCUCUGCUUCUCUGCCUCCCUCUGAACAUCUUCC
This 427-nucleotide long non-coding RNA is filed under the name Gallus gallus (chicken). Lineage: Eukaryota; Metazoa; Chordata; Aves; Galliformes; Phasianidae. The record is from RNAcentral.